Molecule: small nucleolar RNA, 156 nt
Organism: Salvia splendens (bonfire salvia)
Lineage: Eukaryota; Viridiplantae; Streptophyta; Magnoliopsida; Lamiales; Lamiaceae
Product: small nucleolar RNA snoR135
Exons: 1
Source: RefSeq, a predicted model, not a curated record
AAAGCAGAGAUAGUGUGUAUCGACGUUGUGCGAAUUUAAUUCAAAGUGCACUUUGAUCGAAAGUGUUCUCUGCAAAAUUGGAAUCACAAGGGAAAGAUGGGCAGUUGUGAUUCAUACUUUUCAAUUGAUUUUUCAACAAUCAUCUUCCCUACACUC